RNAcentral lists this ribosomal RNA (570 nucleotides) under Cryptorhynchinae gen. sp. ARC4858. Its description in RNAcentral is "SSU rRNA". It matches the Rfam family "Eukaryotic small subunit ribosomal RNA", at positions 30 to 581 of the family's 1831-position model. The record is from RNAcentral. Lineage: Eukaryota; Metazoa; Arthropoda; Insecta; Coleoptera; Curculionidae.
GCUUGUCUCAAAGAUUAAGCCAUGCAUGUCUCAGUACAAGCCAAAUUAAGGUGAAACCGCGAAAGGCUCAUUAAAUCAGUUAUGGUUCCUUAGAUCGUACCCACAAUUACUUGGAUAACUGUGGUAAUUCUAGAGCUAAUACAUGCAAACAGAGCUCCGACCGGAGACGGAAGGAGUGCUUUUAUUAGAUCAAAACCAAUCGGUGGCGGGCUCGUCCAUCGUACAACUUGGUGACUCUGAAUAACUUUACGCUGAUCGCACGGUCAUCGCACCGGCGACGCAUCUUUCAAAUGUCUGCCUUAUCAACUGUCGAUGGUAGGUUCUGCGCCUACCAUGGUUGUAACGGGUAACGGGGAAUCAGGGUUCGAUUCCGGAGAGGGAGCCUGAGAAACGGCUACCACAUCCAAGGAAGGCAGCAGGCGCGCAAAUUACCCACUCCCGGCACGGGGAGGUAGUGACGAAAAAUAACGAUACGGGACUCAUCCGAGGCCCCGUAAUCGGAAUGAGUACACUCUAAACCCUUUAACGAGGAUCAAUUGGAGGGCCAGUCUGGUGCCAGCAGCCGCGGUA